This 27780-nucleotide long non-coding RNA is filed under the name Solanum tuberosum (potato). RNAcentral's name for it is "long non-coding RNA (STUB_LNC010510)". Lineage: Eukaryota; Viridiplantae; Streptophyta; Magnoliopsida; Solanales; Solanaceae. The record is from RNAcentral.
GAAUUGACUUUCUGAUACCAGAAUGGUCACUCUCACCGACACUUCUACUCCCCCUAGGUCCUUGCGUUGAAGGAUCUUCUCGGGUUAUAUUUUGUGAGACCUCAUCAGAUAUGUGACCAGCCAUCAAAGCACUUCUUCUCGUUUCUCUUCUCGGGGUAUCUACAAGAUAAAGGAAGUCUAUUUUACUAAAAGGUGAAGUAGAUUAAAGGUUAGAUAAAAAUAAUUUAUAACUACUAGGCUUAGCAUUCUUUCUACAGAGAUCCAAUUUUAUACAGCAUCAACAACUCAAAAAUCAUAAGCAACUUUGCAGCUUAUACGACAAUUUACUGGGGAUUCAGCUUAAAACAAGGACGUUCAAGGCCUACAAUUCCAUAGUCGGCUAUGGGGUAGAUCAUCUAUCAGGUGUAAUCUUAAUCUUUAUGAGCACACAAGCUUUAAUUCUUCAUGCACAUAUAACCAUCAAGAAGAACAAGGAAUUCAUUGCUGAAAUAUGGCAACAAUAUUAUGAAAACAUUUACUUAGUACAUCAAACCAAAGUCUAGUAUAGAUGAUCCUGAUCUAUAAUUGGCUAGUAAUUAAUUGUUAUCUACAUGAACAUCAAAGCACAACACAAAACAUAUACACCAACAUCAAUUAAGAGCAGAGCAUACAGAAGACGUUGAAAAAUGCAUCAACAUUAAUAGGAUUACCGAACAUGCAUUAUAUUAAGGAUCACAUAUAGAUGCAUAAGGGGAAAAUGAAAAAUGGAAGAAAAAGAUAAAGAGGAAGAUCUAAACUGCAUACAACACAUUCAACACAAUAGAUCUUUGCAAUAUCGAGAUAUAAAAUAAAUUGUUCAAGUGAAAUUCUAUAUGAGAUAACAAGCAAAGGGCAGACUCAUUAUUAUUACCUUUUUAAGAAGGAUGAGUUCAUUAUUCGUUGAAUGCUAUAUAAAACACCCCCAUUGCAACAACAACAACAUACCAGUGUAAUCCCACACCAUCCUUAGCUCUACCUCUCAGAGAUAGAGAGACUGUUUUGGGUAGACCCUCAACUCCCUUUCCCCCACCACCCAACUUAAGGGCCAAUUGACCUUCUCUUUACCCAAGGAAGCGUUUCACCUCAAGAAUCAUUUUCUUGCGUUUAACCCCUUUCUCAUUUAGGAUGGAAGUUGAAAAGAGGUGAGAUUGCCCCCUUGCACGUUAGAGCAAGGAUGCCAUCAACUUUUAUGUGAUACCCACAGAAAAGACAUAUACAUGUUAUCAAGAAAAAGAAAGGAGGAUAGCAUCAACACCAUACAUUCUUUAUCGGUUAUCUCGCCCAUUAACUAGAGCAAGAACUGAUUAAACAAAGGCCGAGAACUGUAAACACCCUUUCCCUUUUAUGUCAAAGAGCUAAAAUCAACUGUAUUAGGAAAAAGAAGAUAUACAUUCCAGACUUUUAUCAGAGAAAACAAGGAUGGCAUAGUAUAGUAGGAAACUCUUAUCUCGAUUUCUUUUUUUUCUCUUUUUCAAUUGUUAAAACUUUUACCUCAAUCUCUCCGCAAACACUAUUAAAAGUGAAUAUAGAGGAAAGAUGGACUCAGAAGGUUAGACACACCAUUGAGAAUACUAAGAUACUAAGUAAUGGUUGUAUUUAUUUUGUGUCUACCACAAGUGUAGUCAAACACGUGGAAGCGAGCGUUUUUGUAUAACACAAUUCGGUGGGCAUUCUAGUAUUACAUAGUCCCACCCUUACUAGUAAUCUAAUACUUCAAUGGAAAACAUUUUCCAUCAUACCACACACAGAAUUAAGAAAGAAGCAGCUGCAGGAAGAUAGAUAUUCAUCAAAACAGUAAAAAGCAAUGUUAGCGCCUAAACUAAUUAAGAGUUUGAAGUUUCCCCUUAAGCAAUUCUUUCAAACAUUGUCCCGUGCAAAUCUUUUAAGGGCCUGUUUGGCCAUGAAUAAUUUUCACUUUUUCUUGGAAUUGUAUUCCGGAAUCAUGUUUGGACAAAGAAUUGCUAGAAUAUACUCCCUCUGUCCCAAUUUAUGUGGCACUUUUCGUUUUUUGAGAGUCAAACAAUUUAAGUUUGACCUAAACUUUGUGCAUAGAAUCGUCAGUUUUUUUGAAAUGAAAUUUAUAUAUUUGUAAACUACGUAAAAAGUACUAUAAGUCACAAUAAUUGGCAAUUCAAAAUAAUUAAAAGAUAUAUGAAAAAUUUACGGUCAAAGAUACAAUUGUUUGAAUCUCGAAAUCUGAAAAGUGCCACAUAAAUUGGGACGGAGGGAGUACAUGUUUUCACAUUUUCACUCCAAACCACUCAUAAAAAUUCAACAUUUUUCCAAGUUGUAUUCACGUCCCAAAUACAACCUCAAUUUCUAAUUACCACUUUAAAACUUUUUAUCAAAUACUACUUUUUUUUUUUUUACGAAUUUCACAUUUUUAUGUCCAAAACAUCCACUAAAAUAGUAUUAGCCCUACUAGUGUCUAAGUACGGAUGGAAACUCCCUCCAAGGGCAGAAUUAAAAUUUUGGUUACAGGUUUGGCAUGACUAAUAGCUUUGGUUCAAAUCCGAGAUUUGCGUUUAAAUAUUCAUUGAAUAUGUACAAAUUAUUAAUUUAGAAACCAAUAACUUAAAAAGACUAGAGCCCAAACCCACAAACUUAAAAUCCUGGCUCUGUCGGAGUUUCCCUCUGCCCCCACAAUAAAAGCUUAUGGACACUGGCAAGUAGAUAAGAUGAACUAGAGAUAAGACCAUGUUUUAUGAGCUUACCCCCUUCUUUUAUGCUUUUUCUCGAAGAAAAGAAGAAAAUGACCUAGUUGUAUCAGCUAUAUGAAUACUAUAUAUCAAUUCACCUUUAUACAAACCUUAAUCCAAUAGCCAAAGGAUUCAUUUGAGAUGAAUUUUAAACUGGUCCUCCACCUAGUAAAACCCUCUUUGGAUCUUCUUGUUUAUCCGGGUUUGGAACCGGAGAUGUAUGGGAAAACUCACAUACGCAGAGUUCCCAUACAAUUUUAAUAGAUUCAUAACAUUGCGAAUUAAAAAUAGUAUCUUUUCCCUAUUAGGAUUCUCCUUUACCGUUUAUACUAUAGCUUUCUAUUAAUUGCAGCCCAAAACCUAGACAUUAGGAGCUUCUUAAUCAUGAGAACAAACCAAAUUGUGAAGCAUGAAGUAAGAUUGCUGUGGAUCUUCUUAAAAUAGCUCACAUAUAAAUCUUCUUUAAAUUAUUUAAGAUAGAAAAUAUGUCAUCUUACUAAAAAAAAAAAGAAUUUCUCUGAUGAUGUUAAUGACAUCAAAAGAAAAGGAGUUUCCUAGUGAGGUGUCAAUUUCAUAUUGAUUAAAAUAUGAUUCAAAACUUAAAAUGUAAGAAUGCGCAAAAUUUUAUGUUGGCUGCUAUAUAUGAAUAAUAACAACACCAAUAGAACGAUAAGAAUUGCGCUCCAACAUCUAAGUGGUUCAGACUUGUGUGCAGUUGUUCGAUACAUGUGCGAAUCUAGAGAUCGGAUCCUUCAUGAUCUAAAUUUUAAAAUUUAGGGGUAUGGGUCUAAGUACAGAUACCGGUGCGGGAAUUUGGCAAAAAUAAUUCAAAUAUCUAAAAGUAGAGUUUUAGAUUCAAAUUAUAAGGCAUUACAUGGAAAUCUUACAAGUUGUUAUGACAAAAACUUAUUGAUCAAAAGGAAAAUUCUAGAAGGAGAUAUAAGGAAAGAAACUAACAUAGAUAUUUCUAUAUACAAGACACUCAAUUUAUUCAAUUUCACCUUAGCUUUUGUUUUGAUUAUAGAAAUCAUUAUAUCUAUCCCAAAUUUCUCUAUUGACUCAAAGUAUCCAAAAUUAGUUGACCAAUUCGGAUCUCACACUCACACCCUAUGCUACUCGGACUCUUCAAAAAUAUCAAUGGGUGCAUGUUGGUUUCUCCAAAACCUGUGCAUUUUUGAAGAAUCUGACACGGGCGCAACAUCAAAAGUGGAGAGUCCACGCAACUUAGCCCACACCCAUACCAUGUCGACAUGGGUGCAACACUGAAAUUGAAAAGUCCAAGCAAUUAAGUAAUGUGAGUACAUCCGGUUCUUGGUCCGUAUGUUGUGUAAUGUGUUAGGUAAUAAUGUAUCUCUGCACUCUAAGUUUAAAAAUUGAUGUAUUGGAUCCAUGAGCAAUUGCUUCUAAUCCAACUGAUUAUUACAUGUUUCACUUACAAAAUGUAUAUUUGAUUAAAGCAAUUUUUCUCUCUAGUCUCCAUACACAUGUUGAUAAUCACCUACAUCAAUGAAGAACAGGAAGCGAAACGCUAUGUCGGGACAGGGGACGGAAAAAGAAACAAUUUUGAAGAAAAAAAUUAGGGUUCCCAAUGCUUCUCCAUGUUCAAUGAGAUGCGCCAACCUCAGGAUGCUUUACUCCUAAUACCACAAGGUUCCGAUACGGAGCUUAACAUGAGUCUUGGUUAAGAACAGAGAUGAUAUAAAUUUUACACGGAACACGAUUCCAUGGAUAGUUUCAUCCGAGAUCGUGAUGGAGGAUAUACCUUACGAUCAUCGUUUUUGCUUGACUAUAGGAAAUGUAUUUCUUUAUUCUUGAUAACAAAAAUAAAGCAAACUUGAUGAAUAUUGUUUAUAUAAUAGAGAAUAAAUUUAAAUUUAAAAGAUUCAAUAGUAGUCCAGCCGUCUUAGUUAGAUAGUAAGAAGUAUAGAAUGAAAAAGACUAGCAAAUAUCAUUUAAUCGGAUAAUUUAAUCCUAACAUAAUGAACAACGUUCACCCUUAAUCUCCUCAUCUUCAUUGAAUAUUACAAAUCUUACAAUUCAUUGCUACCACUAGGCCAUACUCUGUGGAGCUAAUCUCGUAAUUUUUGUAACUUGAUAAUAGUGAGGAAACCUAUAAUAUGUAUGACUAUUUGUCUAUUGCCUGGUGAAGAGAGUACAGAAGAGCCUCUCAACAAGGGCAGGACAAAAUACCCUGUGAAGGUUCCUUUUUAGGUGGUGUGCUUUUCUUGGCUCAUAGAAAGAAAUGCUUGCCUCUCACAGGAUAAAGUUCAAAGAAGGGAAUUUCAACUGUGUUCUAGAUACUUUUUGUGCUGCUAGGGAAAAUAACAGUCACUUAUUCAUUCAUCGUCCUGUUACUGGGAAAUUAUGGUGACUAUUCUUGAAAAUGGUAGGAAUCAGAUAGUCAAUGCCAGCAACAAGGGUUGAUUUAUUGAAAUGUUGGAAUCAGAAUGACAGGGCAGUUAGUCAAAAAUAUUUGGUGGAAACUUGUCCUUACUUGAAUAUGGUGGACCAUUUGGAAGUAGAUGAAGACAAAUACAAUUUUGUGCAGAAAGUCAAGAUGAAUUGUAUUUUUGUUUCAUUUUUGGUAUAAAGAAAGCUAUGUUGAGGAGGCUGAAUCACUAGUUGUCAUGAUAGGAUCCUUGUGAAGAAAUAGCCUAAGCUUGGUUGGGAUUUUGUGAAGUCUUUUUGCACUGUUAUGGCGCAACUUUAAUAGAUACUGGUAGAUAAUGUUAAGACGUCACAAGAUUAGCCAUAACUAUUGUUCUAUAUUAAGUUUUUCUUUUGAUGAUAUAAGUUGUUGUAUUGAAAAGGCAUCAAGGAGAUGCAUGAAAGAUAACAGAUCAAAUGGUUAUAACUCCAAACAGCGCAAACAAAACAAGUAAGAGCUGGGGGUUAAGAACCGAAAGCAAAAAAGUUCAAGGCUGCUAAUUCACUGAGACGGAACUGAUGAAAUUUAGAAGGGGAUGAUAUCAUUUACAGGGGAAAGGUUGCUCCAGCUAUAAAGAUUCAACAAACACUAAGAUCUAAGAGAGCAAUUGGGAGUUAAAAUCAAUCAUUACAUCUUUUAUUUCUUUCUGUCCAUAAAUACCAAAAAAUGCAAGCUGGGAUCAUCUGCCAGAUCGUGUUGAUGUUCUUGUCACUUUCCAUGAACUCCAACUUUCAAAUGCUCGUUUUAGGUUGAGGGUGGUUGUCCAGCUAAUUCCAAAAAAUUCCAAAAACAUAGUCAAAGGUCAGCUGCCUCAAGGUAAUGCAGUAGCAAGUGGUUUACAAUCUCUAAGUUGUUUUGGCACAUAAAACACAUGUUCACCACUGGAAUGCCUCUUUUUCUCAGGUUGUCCUGGGUUAAGAUGGCAUUGUGAAGGGCUGUCCAAGGGAAACCCUUAACUUUUGGGGGGAGUUUUACAUUCAAAUGAUUGUAUCAUGUUUUCACUGUGAAGAUGCCUCUCUUCAGGGCCCCCUCUCCCCCCUGGGUUAAGAUGGCAUUAAAUAAUUAUUAUAUUUUAUAUGUGUUUCAACAAUUAAAUGUAACAGUUGAGUCCAAAUCACAUUGUAAUUUAGGCUUUAGGAUUGAAUGACUCAAAAUAUUAUACUAAACCAUAAACCUGUGUGCUGCACAUUUAUAAGUACAACAACACACAGGAGACUGUGGUUAGAACAAGGAACACAAAGUAUACUUUCCUUGCAAAAACAAAGCAUACUGAAGUAAUAACUUAGGAGGAUAAGUUCUCAUUUAUUCUUCAAACAAGGAUUAUCCAUUUCUGUGAUACAAAGAACUACCAUCAGUACACCACUCUAGGUAAAAUCUAGUUGCACAACUAAAUUGAAAAUUCAGCUUGUGCCUGGAAAGCUGAAAUCGGGAACAAAAGUCACAAAAUAAAUAUGGAACUGGAAAUAACUUUUCACCAUCUCCCACUGCUCUAUCCCCAAAAAAACUCAUGGGAGGGAGGUUUCUUUAUGGAAACAAUAAUCACGACAUAAUUUAGUUUCUUUCCUGUCAAAGCGUAAGAUUCUUUCACCUACAAACUCAUCAAAAAGGGAUUUUUCAUCUUCAUCUUAGAUUAGCAAAGCACUGUAGCGAAUGAAUAGUUCAAAAAAAGUGAGACUGAUAUCAACCCAUCAACUUGAUAAAGUUUGGUCAUUCGCAGAACUUGAACAUAGUUGCUUUUAGACAUGAUCACAAGACAUCUGCCGUCUCUAGAUUGAUCGGGUGUAGCAAAGCACUGUAGCAAAUCUUAAAUACUAGAAAUGAGAGAAUUUGAUGUACAUGUACGCCAAUAAAUACUGCAAAUCACAUGUAACUGAAAUCUUAGACUGCAACAUGAUUAUACAUACUUGAAAUAGGUGGUGAUUGGUGAUGCUUUGAAAUCAAAACUGUCAGCCAUUCCACUACGCCUUUUCUUGUACGCCACUUUGUGUCAGAAUUUAUGGUACUUGUAUGCCCAAAAGUAUCCAAAUAAUCCUCUGAGACAACAUAUAACAUGUUCCUUGAGCUUCCUUCAGUACCCACUACAGCAAGGAUUAACUCCCCUGAGGUAUCCUUCAAGUAGUAGUGCACAACACGACAACACUUCCCCUGAGAAACAACGUGCUCUUCCCACGAACUAAAUACAUGACUAUCUGUAUCCAUCCUAAUGCCACAGAGAAACAGUUUGGAUUAAUCGAAAAAUAGCCCAGUUCUAAACAAAUCAGUUUAGGCUAAAUAAUCAUGAACAAACAUAAUCCUCCUAAGUUCUGUUACAAUUUAGGACCCGAUCAAACAAACAUAAAUGAUUGGAACAAAAAACAUCAGAUACAAAGAACAGAUUUUUCCAACAAUUAGCUCCUAAUGAUCAUAUAAAAAAUGAAAAAACAUAAACAAACCACAACCCCAAAUGAAACACAGACAGAAUUUUGCUUAAUCCAAAGAUAAACCAACCUUACUUCCAGAAAACUCUCAACAGCUCAGCUACUAAGAACAGAUAAACUUUUUCAAGAAUUACCAACCAAGGAUCAAAUUCACAAUGAAAAACAACAAUGAGGCCCAAACCCAAGUGAAAAAUGAAAUAGGGUUUGCCGAUUUUCAAAGAUUAAUCAUGUACAAGAAUAAAAGCACACAACAUUGAACCAGCAUUGAGAAGACAUCAAGUGCUCACACUUACAAGCAGCAAAAAAGAACCCAAAAUUCAAGAAAAACAAGCUAAGCACGUGACUAGAACAAAAACACUUAAAAGAGAAAUGGGUUUGCUGAUUUCCAAAAAGAUUAACCAUGUACAAGAACAAAAAUACAGAACAUUGAACCAGCAUUGAGCAGACAUCAAGUGAUCACACUUACAUCAAAUAGCUUAGGAUUGGAAAAGAGAACAAGCAGCCAAAAAGAACUUGAAAUUCAAGAAAAACAAGCUAAGCACGUAACUAGUACUGACUGAUCUCAAAAAUAGCAAAAGUUUGUUGCCUUAUGAAGAAACUGAGUUUCAGAAAAAAGCCAGAGAAUGCUGAGUUGGGUCUUUUGUCUACAAGCAGUGACAGUUAGGGAAAAGGAUAGAGUAAAGAGUAAAAGAACAAGAAAAGAAGAAAGAGAAGGAGGUAGAAAAAGCCAAAUGCCAUUGUUGCCAACACAAGCAAAAGGCUGAGCUCUGGGUUUUCGUUUCAACUUCUUUGUGACAUGUGGAAGCAACAAGAGGGAGAAACACAAUACUUAAGCUUUUGAGUUUUAGCCUUUACACUAAACAAAAUUAGUGUUACAACAGUAUUAGUCACAGAAAAUUUAUUCCAAAAUUAAACUAAAAAAUACGAUUUUGAACCCGUUUCAUGCUCAUGUCAGGUCGGGGUUACUGAAGAAAGAAAAAACCUGCAUGCUCAUGUCAGGUCGGGGUUAGUGAAGAAAGAAAAAACAUGCAAAAUUCGAUUCAUUUUAUCGAAAUCGAUUAGUUAAUAUGUAAGUUAAAUGUAUUUUUAAACAUGAAAAAUAUCUUUGGCCUAUCAAAUUAUCUGUAGAGCUGUGAAAAAAAUUCAACAAAAGACGAAAACAAAUCCACUUCCGUAAUAGAAACUUAAAUUUGUUCACAAUAUUAAUCAUAUUUUCUGUGCCAACGAGGAGUAUAAUAAUAUUUCAUUUGGACUAAUAUUCUCUAUGUGAAUCUCUUCCAGGCCAAAUGGAAGCAGAAUGCGCCUUUCCUCUGUUGAGGAAUUCCACGAAAUGAAAACGGGCAACAUCGAUGCUCCACCUUUUAGUAACAACGUAAUGACAAGUGUGUUGAAGCCAUAUAACAGGGACAAAAUUCAUCGAUUAGGUGGCAGGUUUGUAGGUCUUUGAUCUAUCAGCACCCAUUUCUUUUUUAAGCAAAGAGGAAAUUGUACAGCCCAAUCAGUAUAAGAAUAAAGCCAGAUUAAGGUAUUUAAGCAAGAACUGUCUGAUCAUACAAGUGUGUUUCUGCUGCUGAUAACUUGCAGUUCCUUGUUAAGUUGUAUGAAAUUUCAAACAUGCGAUGCAAUACAAUUUUGAGCCGAGGGUCUAUCGAAACAGCCUUUCUAUCCCACAAAGGUAAAGGAGGGUAAUGUCUCCGUACAUCUUACCCUCCUCAGAUCUCAAUUGUGGGAUUGCACUUGAGCCCACCUCACGGCCCAAAAGACCAGUCCUUUAUGAUAUUGCAAUUGUAAACAGCUCUAAUCAGCAAAUUUUGAAUUGAUUAAUUCAGAGUAAUUAUCAAUCCAGCUAUGAGGCCAUUCCGCUGAACUAAGAAUAAACAGUGCAUUACUCGAAACAAUCAGUAUAUAAGACUAGACAAAGAAUAAUUGGUAAAGGAGAAGGGGGUUUAACCACUUCUUUUCUUAGCAAAUAAAAAGCUCAUGCUGUUUCUCUCUGGGUACAUGAAAAAAGCAAUCUGACAGCUUUAGUAAUUGAAACCAAAAAAUCAGCGAUCAAAAGAUAACCUAAUAAGAAUCAAGAGGUUGUAACAUGAUAAUGAAAAAAUCAGACAACAAUAUUUCUCUGUUCACUUAAUUUGAAAUACUAAAUGAAACCACAAAAUAAUUUGUUUUGAAAUGCCAAAGAAUGCAUACCAGACAACACAUUCUUAAUGCCACAGGGAUGUGUAUCAGUUUCUCUCCCGAGAGCACUUUUCAGUGUGAGAAUUUCAUUAGGUAGUUGGUAAUCAUCUAAUUCACCACUAUAUUUGACAUCGUGAAUAAUAAGGAUCUUAUAGUUGCCACUAAUUGAGUCAUAAAGCAAUCCCAAAAUUCCUCCAGGCGAAAUCAUGGAUGUGGAGGCACUUUUGAUUCUCUUGUGGAGAGAUUACAUAGCGAUAGGUUGGGUGCGUCGAAAUCCAAAUUAUUAUCACAAACCGUGAUAAUAGUCAAGCCAUUGCAAAAUCAAUUGAUUGCGCAAAACCCUGGUUUAGAGUUUGAAGGGCAAUCAAUUUUCUGUACAUCAUCAACCAGUUGAACCGACAAUAAAAGACAAUAAUUGAUUGAAAAUAUACAAUCCUUGUGGCACUUCUGACAAAUAAGAAAUUUUUGGGAAUUUUGGUCAUUCUUAGCAUAUUUGAGAUGCUUCAUCUUAAAGUAAGGCUUGAAGAUCAAUGUUUUCCAAAAUUUUGUGAUACAUUUGAAAAAAAGACGAGACCGCACAGGUAAUUUCCGGAGUAUAUCAGCAAGUAUUUCCUCUGAGAAGUGACAACACGGACAAAGACAGGACAACAAAGAGUGAUCAUAGUAUUUGAAUAUUAGACAUUUCAACCAAGAGAUUUAAGAAGAUAAAACUUUUGAUUUCUUCUAUCUACUACUUACAAACAAUUACUAAUAAAAUUUAUACUUUCAAGUAGAGGAAGGGACAGAUAAGCCAAGUACCUUUAAGCAUUCCCAUCAUGUUUGACAAAAUAACUCACUGAAUAUAUCAACUGGUGUCUGAAUAAAAGGGACUAUAAAUUUGACUUUCUAUUACCACCAAAUACUAUAGCAAUGACAACAAACAACAUACUCAGUGUAGUCCCACAAAGUGAAGUCUAGGAGGGAACAAUGUAUGCAGACAUUACCCCUACCUCAGAAAGGGAGAGGUGAUUUUCGGUAGACCCCUGGCUCAAAUACCAUAGCAAUGCGCACUUAAAUUUUCCCACUAGGUCCAGCACAUUUUUAACAAUUAAAGUAAAAUUAAGCAUAGGAAUUAUACACCGUUUAGCCAAACAACAAAAAUGUGGUUAACAAAAGAACUCACCUCAUCAACAACAUCCAUCUGCUUUGAUGGCUUUUGAUUUCUUCCUUUGUUGGCAAUUCACCUUUUGUGUUCGAUUUGAAUGCUAGGGUUAUUUUAUAUUGUGGAGGGAGUGCGUGCACGAUUCAGAAUUUCCUCUCUGAACUACCCAUGUACCUAUCUCCACAAACACAAUAGUAAAAACAUCAUGGAGCGGGUGUUUUGAUACCGUCAUUUAACUUGUACUCAUCUUUUUAAAAUUUUUGCACAUAUACCAUUUCAGACAUGCCAUGUCUGAAGUUAGACUAGACAAAAUCAAACUUCAGACAUAGUGUCUAAAAUUUCAUGACUGAAAUUCUGGUAAAAAUGGUUGAACUUUAUCAUAUACUAGUAAAAUUAUCUGCGCUUCGCGCGGAAAUUUAAUAUCACAUAAUUUAUAAAACAAUACUUACAAUCUAUCAGUCAUUAAAAUUAAAACACUAUUUUAUCUUAGAUACAAGAUUACGUAGGAACGAACAUUAAUAAUGUAAAGGAAAAUAAUAAUUAUAACAUUUUAUCAUUUAUCCUUCAAUCAAUCAUCUUUAAUUUGAUUUUAUAAUUUAUCCUUUUGCCGUCAGGAAGUAUUACUAUUUGAUAUUUUUGGGAAAUUAGAUGAACAUCAACGUGAGAUAUUAAAUUUUCUAAUAAAUAAAUAAUAUUUAUAUGUACUAANNNNNNNNNNNNNNNNNNNNNNNNNNNNACAAAGUUUAAAACAUGUACUAAAAAACAACAAUUAAUAUCAUAAGCAUAAAUUAAUGACUGUAAAAAAAAUAUACCAAGAUCUAUAACAGUAGAAUGAAACAGAAAGGAAAAAAUUGAGCCCACAAUGCACAGUGUUCCCUUAAGGAAAUUAUUCCCCUCUAGUACCCGAGGUUUAAUGGAAUAGAUCCUCUCAGGAUGGAACAAUUUUAUUCACAAGUAUAUAGAUAUAAAAACAAUGGUGUCAGUGAGCCCUUCAACAGGAGCAAAGUACUUGAAUAUUUAAUUGUGCAGAAGAAGAAGAAGAAGUUCAGAAUUUUCGUUGUUUGAGAGGAAAUCCCUCUAUUUAUAGACAACAAAGGAUAGUGUGAACGAAUGCUUAUUGUGCCUUAUCGAAAAUGUCACAACUCUUCGAAAAGGUCAGAACCUUUCAUAAAAGUCACAAUUUUUCAUAAAAGUCGUAACUCGUCAUGAAAAUCGCAAUUCUUCAUAAAAGUCACAACUUUUCGUAAAAGUCACGUCUUUUCAUGAAAGGGGAUGACUAUUUUUGGGUAACUCUUCAUAAAAGUCGCAACUCUUCAUAAAAGUCAUAACUUUUCAUAAAAGUCACAUCUUUUCAUGAAAGGGGAAGGCUAUUUUUAGAAAUAAAUAAAUCUAAAAGGAAAUUCUAGCUUGUGGUGGCGCCACGUAGGCGGGCCUAGGGUUCUCUUUUAUAUAAAUAUAUGAUAUGAUGUCCAAAGACCUUUUCUAGGUCUUUGUACUCAUUAUGUCUAGCAUUGAAUAGACCGAAUAUUCACCUUAUCAAGAUCUCAAAUCAAUGAUGAGGUCUGGUUGGCACCUCCUAAAUGGGUGUCCAAAUUGGACUGAAUCCUUUGUCGGGCUAUGGUUCCGUCAAAGAUAUGGAGUAAGACAUUAAUUUCUCAAUAAGAUCAUUUUUUUAUUGUAUGAUGAACCCGGUGAAAAGUACAGGAACAAUUUUGUCCCUUUUCCCGUAAUUUGAAUUACAAGCCACAGAGUCAAAAGAAACUAAUAAAAUUGCAUCCGAAAGAUGAACCAACUAAAUUUACAAACAAAACAACUGAGAUAGUGGUAAAAAUGUAAGAGCUUUUUGCCAACAUAGCAAACACAUACUCAAAGGAAACUUCAUAAAGUUAAAACUUUUAUGCAUAACCAAUAAGAGAGAGUGUACAAUACAAGAGCAUGCCAACUUCUAGGCCAAUUUGUAAAACUCAUACAUAUAGUAACCAAAAGAGUGCGCUCAGAUGGUAAGCACCCUCCAAUUCUAAACCUCAGGUUGUGAGUUCAAGUCACCAAGGGAGCGAAAAAGUGGGAGUUCCUGGGGAGGGGUAAAAAAAAAAGAGUGCUUGCUUAUAGCUCUUUAAGAUGCCUUUUCCAAGUUUUGCUGUCAAAGACCUAUACAUUUACAAAAGGCAAAUCGAGCACCGUUGAAAGUUACUUACAUGUCAAAAUUUACCCAGUGUCAAAAGUAUUUCACUAUUAUCAAAAAGAACUAACCACUGCUAGACGCCAAAAUCAUCACUUGUAGAAUUGUCUGAAAUCAGUUCUUGUUACCUGCAAGAAAAUCAAUACACCAUCACUUUUUCAGUUUAAGCACAUCAGUGUCUUGAUUCUCAGCUGAGUGUUUAGAAGUUGACGCCAUUUUGUUGUCUUCAGGUGCCACAAGCUUGGGAGCAUCUGCUUUUCGCACUUAUCAGGUUCUUUGAUACUGCACUUGGAUACAUCAGAUAAACUCGAGUUUAUGAACGACUUUAUAUCUUUCUUUCCCUUAACUUCAAGCCAUUUGUCAUCAAUCCAACCUCUUGAAGUCCUCAUGUUCUUCCUUUGAAUCUUCAAUAAUAUGUUCUCGCCUGUUAUUGAGAAAAAGAAAAACACCUUGGGGCAUCAGGCCAUGACCAACAUUAAUCAUUAAAAAUCCAAGACAACAAAUUGGCCAGAAGCAAGGUCUAUUGUUUAAAGUUUUUCCACUACUGAGUUAAAAAGCCAAUUUAUGAUAAUGUUGAGCUUAGACAUAUGAUUUCAAGUAAGAAUUGAAAAUAAUUAGAGACUCCAAUUUUUCAUUUAUUGGCUGUUGAGUUAUCCUUACGCGAAGUUGCUAUGCAUCAACCAAUAAGCAAGAAUUCUCCUUUUAUUCCUUGUUUUCUAUUUCUAUUUUAACUUUUUAGUUUUUUGGGACUGAUAUUUCUUACCAGGGAAGUAAACCUGAAGAUACCGCUUCCACAAACAUCAAAUCCAGCAACAAAACCUUCCCCCCAUCCAUCGGACCACCAAGCAUCAACUGCAGCUCCUAGUUCAAAAGAAAAGUCAGAAGAAUCCUCCAGAGGCCGUGGACAAACUGUGAUGCAUCCUGUGUAUCUCAUGCCCAAUCUAUCAGACCCUGCAACUCUGUAGGAAGGAAUCCAUUCCUACAAAAUCAAGCAAAGGUGUUCAGGAAACAGGGUGAAAGGUGAAGGGUGAAGGGACAACAUACAAGUCAAUAUAUGUAAGUAGAUCAUAAGUCUUAGUAUAUUAACUUAAGUUAUAGUAGCAGUGGUUAAGGUAACUCAAACUUUUCAGGACCAUCAUAAUCCUGGAUGUCAUCAUAUUGAACUUUCAGACGUUUUUGUGAUACCUGUAAGACCUUACACCUGAACCAGCAGCCUCUCAUGCCACUAUCGUGGCAAAGAACCUCUAAGUUGUCACCAACUUCAAAAGACAGAUUAUAUUAACGCUCAACAAGCUGAAUUCCAACCGACCCUAUGCUUGGAAAUUUUAUUUUUAACUUUGUGUAAGUUGAUGGUUUGGCUUUUGCUAUCUGGUUACCAGGAAUUGACUUUCUGAUGCCAGAACACUCUCACCAACACUUCUAACAAGGAUACACUUACAUAUCGCCCCUCGUCCAAAACGCCAUGGAAAACAACUCUGAGCAAUCGGUGGGUCAGUGGUUGGAUACCCAGCGCAGCAUCUCCUUGAGCAGCAGGAAGAGCAGUUGGAGAUGUUCUGGACCUAUCCAGGAAAUGGAGCAGGUUAACGAUUUUAAGAACCACCUACUUCCCCUUUCCCACAUCAAGAAGAUCAUGAAAAGGAUGUCCUCAUGAUCUCAGCUAAAAAUAAGGACAUUCAAGGCCUACAAUUCCAUAGGCAGCUAAAAAUAAGGACAUUCAGCUUGUGCCUGGAAAACUGAAAUCGGGAACAAAAAUCACAAAAUAAAAAUGGAACUGGAAAUAACUUUUCACCAUCUCCACUGCUCCCUCCCCAAAAAAUCCACGGGGGAAGGCUUCUUUAUGGAAAGAAUAAUCGCAACAUAAUUUAGUUUCUUUCCUGUCAAAGCAUAAGAUCUUUCAUCUACAAACUCAUCAAAAAGCAUUUUUCAUCUUCAAAUUAGAUUAGCGAAGCACAGUAGCCGGUGAAUAGUUCACAAAAAGUGAGACUGAUAUUAGCCCAUCAAAUUGAUAAAGUUUGGACAUUCGCAGUACUUUAACAUUGUUGCUUGUAGACAUGAUCAUGAGGCAUCUGUCAUCUCUAGAUUGAUUGGAUGUAACCAGUAGCCAAUAAUCUAUGAUCAACUUCUUCAGGAAAUGCUAACUACUAGAAAUGAGAGCAUUUGAUGUACAUGUACGCCAAUAGAUACUGCAAAUCUCAUGUAACUAAAAUCUUACUGCAACAUGAUUAUACAUACUUGAAAUAGAUGGUGAUCGGUGAUGCUUUGAAACCAAAAACGUCAGCCAUUCCACUACCUCUUUUCCUGCAUGCCACUUUGUGUCGGAAUUCAUGGUACUUGUGUGCCCAAAAGCAUCCAAAUAAUCCUCUGAGACAACAUAUAGCAUGUGCCUUGAACUUUUUUCAGUACCCACCACAACAAGGAUUAACUCCCUUGAGGUAUCCUUCAAGUAGUGGUGCACAACAUGACGGCCCUUCUCCUGAGAAACAACGUGCUCUUCCAUAAACUAAAUACAUGAUUAUCUGUAUCCAUCCUGAUGCCACAGAGAAACAAUCAUUUUAGGCUAAAGAGUCAUGAGUAAACAUAAUCCUCUAAGUUCUGUUACAAAUUUAGGACCCGAACUGAAAUGAUUAUAAUUAAGAACAUCAUACAGAAAGUAGACAUUUUUCCAACUAUUCGCUUCUGAUGACCAUAUAAACAAUGAAAAAACAGCAUCAAACCACAACCCCAAAUGAAACACAGACAAAAUUUUGCUCAAUACAACUCAGCUACAAAGAACACAUUUUUUUUUCAAGAAUUACCAAUAAAGCCCAAACCCACAUGAAAAACGAAAUGGGAUUCGCUGAUUUUCAAAGAUUAACCAUGUACAAGAACAAAAACACACAAUAUUGAACCAGCAUUGAGCAGACAUCAAGUGAUCACACUUAAAACAAAUAGCUUAGGGUUGUAAGUGGAAACAAGCAAUCAAAAAAUAACCCAACAAGCUAAGCAUGUAACUGACUUCAAAAUUAGCCAAAGUUUGUUGCUUUGUGAUAAAAUAGAGCUUGAGAAGGCCUAAAGAGUAUCCUUCUGGUCAUGGGAGCCAAGGUUUUGCUUCUUUUAUUUGGGACCUAAAAAAGAAAUCUAUUUAAUUAAGGAGAUGAUUUACUUGGAAGUACAAAUUUAAUUCUAAAAUUAAACUAAGGCCUGUUUGGAAAGUCAUUUUCGUAAUUGAAUUUGAUGUAAUUGGGUAUCAAUCAGCAGGUAAUUUUGGUGUAAUUGGUAUGAGUAAUUACACUUUUCAUUUCACAGGGAGGGAUUGUGAAUUGCUCGAAUUACAUGGUAUAAUUACAGGCUACUUAUUAAUUUUUAAUUUUUAAUUUUUUGUUUUAAUAUGUUUUUUAUUUUUAUUAUUUUAAAUUCUUCAUAAAAAAUCAUUAAUAUAAGGUUGUUAUGGACUCACGUGUUCCUUUUCUUUUAAUUCAUAUUUAUGUAUGUUAUGUUGAAAUUUGACAUUAGAAUACUAUGUUAAAAAGAAAGUGGCCCUCUCUCUAAAGGGGCUUAUGCACUCCAUGACUUUCUAAUGUUAUGGACAGUUUAGAAAGAAAGACGUGCAAAUUGAAACGGAGGAAGCUGCCCUUGCAGAUAAGAUGAUCGAGAUACGGAACAGGGAACUCGCGCGCUUCAGAAUCCCUUUCAGAUAGUAGGACCCCUUUGUGAAUUUUUCGUUUUGAAUUUAUAACUUAUGCUAUAUUUUCAAUUUCAUUUAGGAGUAUUGACUUGAUAUUUUACAUUGAAACUAUUUUUUUAAGUUAGACUUGAUAGAUUAUCUUUUUGUCAAAUGUAUUAUAAUUUCAAGACAUUAUAUUUAUAAUAUUAAUCUUUUUGUCAAAUAUGCAUUUUAUGAUGUACAUAGAAAUUUUGUACUUUUAGCUUUUAUGAUUAGUUUAAUUAAAAAUAUAUUAAAUUAAAAAAUAUAAAUCAAUUACAUUAACACGUGUAAGGUAAUAUGAAACGGAGGGAGUACUUAUUUCAAGUAUCACUCUUUUUCCUAAUUAUUCACCAAAGAAAAAAAAAAAGAUCCAUACAAAUUUUUACCUUCAAUUAUUUGGGUGUUUCCACGUAAUUAAGCUCAUACAUUGUACUAAAUGUACGUUUUAAAGUUUAAACAUUUGGAAUUUGGAUACUCAUAAGUCUAACUUGAUUACGAUCCAAUCCAUAAUGCAUAAACCAGGAUAUAUUAAAUAGCCAUUACAACUAAUUAAUCGUAAUUAAAUUAAUCAAGCACGUACACCAUCCUAAUUAAUUCUCUAAUUAGUUAGCCAAGAAGAACAUCUUCAAUAAUAGUGUAGUCGAUUUACUUUCUCAUUUUUCAUUUUACUUGGCCCCUCUAUUUUAUUUUUUUUAAAUAAUCAAUUUAUUUGUCCAUUUUGCGAAUUAAGAGGGUUUUGUUACUUCCGAUUUUUUUUUACUGUCCUUAUUAUUUUGUUAACUAGCUACCUAAACUAAGUAGAAAUAGUCAAAUUUAGAAUUCUAAAACAUCAUUAAUAAAGUAGUUUCGUAAAAGAAACAUUUACAGUAAUUUCUUAAAGGGUGUGUCAAGUCAACAUGAGUCAAGUAAUUAAUAUAAAACAAGAGUACUAUCGAAAUUGAAUAAAAACCCUUGAGAUGCCAACGUUUAAUUGGACCAGUAAGCAUAUCCUAUUUCUUUGAUUUCAUUAAAAUUAACUAUUAAUCAAUAUAUCAUUUAUAAAAAAAACUCACGUAUUUGAUUAAUUUCCCACAUUAUAUUUACUCUUCACCUUCAUAUCAUAAAUCCCUAUUAUAGCACCUUGUUAAUACUAAUCCCACGUCCUCCAUUUUUUUUCCUAAGCAAUUAUCACUCGAAUUAAUCCCACUAUCACUUUGCUAAUUAAAGACAUGAAGAAUAUUACUCUCAUGACCAUCAAAAUUGUUCUACUACUUACCCUAGUUUCAUGGAUUAAUAUUCUUCAAGCUCACCCUAUAACCACAUCUAGUACUGGUUGUACUACUACACUUAUGACACGUCUAAAACUACAAGAUGAAGAAAGGUUCAUCACGGGAUUCAUUAUUCAAGCUCCAAGCAUGCACGGGGCCGGGAAUCGUGCUUUUCUUCGUUAAUGGUGAAACCUAUCUAGGUCAAGAUUGUUGUGAUGCUAUAAGAAUUAUUGAACGUCAAUGUUGGCCAUCUAUGCUUGGUUCUCUUGGUUUUACUUCUGAAGAAGGUGAUAUUUUGCAUGGAUAUUGUGAUGCUAGUGAGUCUUCUUCAAUCCCAGAGAGACACCACUAAGAGACACCACUAUCUCCUAAUUUGGCUCCAUAAGUAGAUUAAUUAAUUUUAAUGUUGCAAAAAUAAAAAAGGGGGUUUUAAACUUUAAAGUAUUGUUAUGUAACAAUAAUAUCAUGGAAGAAUAUAUUAAACUUUGACAUAUGUGUUUGAUGCACACUUUUUUUAUUUUUUUGGAUUUUUGUCGAGUUAUAAUUUAUAUAGUGAAAAAAACUAUCUACACCCCUCUGGUAUGAUUUGUCAUGUUUCUUUUUUUAUAUAUAUUUUUCUAUGAUAACAUUAUUUAAAAUGGUAUUUGACUAGUUUAUCUUCAUUUAUGUUCUAAGAACAAUUAUCUCCUUAGUGUGACGAUGUGCCACAUCAUUGUGCCAUGCAAGUUCCACAUGACACAAAGUUACCCAUUUGGAGGAAUUACAUAGGAAGAAGACUUAUCCUUGUGGAUUAUUCUAGAGAAAGAUAAAUAUUUUUUUUAUAGAAGAUUAUUGAAUUACAUAGAAGUCACUAGAUUAUUCUAGGUAUGUAGAGAGUUCUAUAAAAGAGAUCUUAAUGUAAAUAUGUAGGAUCUUACAAAGAAAUUAUUAUUUAUAUGUUAGCCCCUAGAUUAGUAGUAUAAAUAGAGGGACAUCCAUUUGCAAAACCAUCAAACAAAAAUCAUUACAAGUUCUCUACACAAUUAUUCCUAACAAUCCUCUUUCAUUCUCUUCAUGUCAUUGUUUUGGUGAAGAGUUAUUUGAUAUUUGUGGCAAAUAAAUCAUAAAAUUAAUCGAGGUGCACAUAAAACUAAUUCGAAACUCAUAAUCAUCAAAUAUCAUAAAAUUCACAAAUAGAAGAAAACAAGAUUUAGAAAAUCAAUUAACUAAUUUUUCACUAAUUUACUAAAUAAAAAAAAGGUUCAAGUCAUAAUUCCUACUGACCGGUUAAGCCUUCCUUUUAAAUUGACUUUGAACUUCAAUUUUGAUUUGUAAAUAAUCAAUUUUUGUAUUGAUUAGGUUGUGGGAGAUGUUAGUGCAAUUAAUAAUUAAAGAGACGUUUUGACUUGUUUGAGGUUAUCAUUAUCAUGAGAGGCUAUUCAAAACUAAAAGGGUAUUUUUAGCAAUAUUUUCAUUUUUUGAUUAAAUUUGUUGUUUAUUGUGUAUAUUUUCACUUAUAAUCUUCAUUUUCUAGAUUUCCCCAGAUUUACUCAUGGCAAAUGAAAACGGGAGUUUUAUAUGGGAGGGUAAAUAUAUUAUGGACGACGUUCUAGUCUAAAUAAUGAAACGAAAAAUGUUUUAGAUAGGUAAACAGUUCGCCAAUAUUCAACUGUAUAGCACACAAAAGUGUCUCUCAUGCAAGUGCAAGGUGUAGUAGAUAAUCAAGUGGUGCAAGAUCACAUAGACAGUAUCAUAUGUUUGAUGCGUUUUAGUCAUAAAUCAAGAUCAUUCUACUAUGCAAUUUAAUUGUGGAUAAAAAAAUUUCAUUCACUUUUCCCUUUAUAUUUCUAUAUUCAUUUACUUUAAUACAGAUUAAAUUCGUUUGUGACCGUUGAUUUAUUUUUUCCUUAAGUAGUUUGACUUUUGACAAGUGGAUACUCCAAACAAAUUACAAUUUUCUUUUCUACUCCGUCUAUCCUAGUUUAUUUGGCAGAGAGUUAAAUCUUUAAUUAAUUUGAUAAAAAAUACCAAUAUGAAAUUUUGAAGUUUUUGUUAUAAUCACAUUUAUGUGAAUUAAGACUUUAAAUAAAAUAGUUAAUUCAACUUCUAAAUCUAUCUAUAUAUAUAUAUAUAUAUAAAGGAGGAUAUGAAAAGGCUGAUGUGACAUACUUCUUUGAUCAGGAUUUAUAAUUAUCUUCUUCUUUUUUUCUGAUUUUUGAGAAGUUUCUCUCUAUUUUAGGAUUUAAAAUACUCUAAUACAUUAAUUAAUGAUGAUCUAUUUAUAUUAUUCCUUCAGUUAAUUAUAGUAAUUAUAGAAAAUUGAUUGGUUUCUUCUUCAUUGAUACAUAACCGUUAUUUUUCUUUAUUUAUUUAGACCUCAUUAUGUGAUCAUCAUUUAAUUAAUUAUUAAUUAACUUUAUUAUUCAAAUUUUUUCACCUUUUUAUUUGACAUUUUACAAUAUUUUUCUGAUUAAAAUUAAAUAUAUUCAUGAAAGUAUAAAAAGAUUAUUUAUUGGAAUUAAAUGCUCAAUUUUUAAAUUAUACGUUUUCCCAAAACUUUUAGACUUUUUUUACAUCUUAUGUUUUGUUCUUUCCUGCAGGGAAAUUGUAACAAUUGAAUUAAAAACAAGAGUUAAAUGUUAGUAAUAAUAAUAAUGAUUGCAAUUAAAAUAAUUGAAAGCUAUAAAAUAAAAACCAACAGUUACUAAUAAUAGAGACGUGUGAGGUAAUGAAAAGUCACGAGGACAACUAAUAAUUACGCCUAUAAAUUCAUGAGAAUUGCAAAGAUCCAAUGAAAUGACUACAAAGUUUUCUUCCCACCUGAUGAGGUAUGUUGAGUGACUAGCAAAUUUCUCUUUUUACUUUUUUCUUUUAACUUAUUCAUUAUUUUCAAAGUAUAUCAUAGUUUUAUUUUUAUGUAGAAGCAAAUAGUCUUUUUAUGAUAUAUAUUUAGAUUGCUUUGAAUAGUGUUAUAAUUUCUUAACGAUUCUCUUAUAUCUAUCCUUUAUCAGCGGCGGUUCAACGUACUUGGAGGUCUAAAGCGAAAUUUCAAUUAAAGGCCUAAAAUCUUUUAGUUAGCAAUUAUUAUAUAAAUUGUUAACAUUAUUCUAUAAGUAAUAAGUUGACAAAACUGCUUAUAAGCUUCUUCUUUUUUGGUUUAAAAAUACAUAAAAUAAGUCAAUCUAAACAGGCUUGUAAUUCACUUUAUCCAAAACAUGAUUUUUACUAUUGAUUCAUAUUUUUGAUAGAGCUCUAACUUACAUAUAGCAUAAAAGGGGUCUAGAAAAUUACAAUGCGAGAGUUAGUGAAGAGAAUGUAAAAAGACAAAACAACAUUUUUCUUGAUUUCUUCUAUUCGAUUGAGAUUAAGGAGAAUAAAAUAAUAUAUAUAUUUUUAAGAAAAAUACUUUCUUAGAUAAUUAAUUUUUUCUAUAAAAAAAAUUAACACAUAAUUUAUUGUGGUAAAAUUAGAGGCCCCUAAAAUUGGGGGCUAAGGCAUAUGCCUAAUUUUUAUAAGUAUUGAGCCGCCACUGCCCUUUAUAGAAUAUUAAAUUUAACUAUAUGAGAUUUUGUGGCAAGUUAUAUAACAAUUAUUUCGCUAUUGAUUUGAUGAGUUUUUUAUUUAUUUUUAAUAAUGAUCAACAUGUUUAGGGGAUCAUUAUUUAUGAACAACUAAAUUGUAGGGGUGAGUACCUUAUUUAUACUUGACCUGUCAUACUUCAAAAGGUAUGAUACUUCAUAGUAAUUUUUUCAAUUUUUGUAAAAGCUAAAUGUUAAUUAAUUAAAAUACUUCAUUAGCCUUUCUUUCUAUUAUUUUUGUCAAACAUUCUAAAUAUUGAGGAUUUGCUCUAGAAUUUUAUUUACUUAUUAAUAUUUUAUUUUAUUUUACAAUUUUUCUUAUUUCUCUAUUAUUAUUGUAAAAUAAUAAAUAUGUCAAUUAACCAUUCAUUAAUACUUUAAUAAUUUAAAACUUGAUGAUCUUUGUUUACAUUACUCCAAUAUUUUUUUAUUAUCAUAACUCCUAAAAUAAUUAAUAGUCAUUAUAUUAUUUCGGUAUACAUAUUGUAGUUCUAUAAAUAAAGACAUGGUAAAACAUUGUAGAAAUGAUUACAUUAUAAGUCUCUCAAGUUAUUAUAUUUUUGAUACGUAAUUCUUAUAUUCAUGUUUUAGUUUGACUUGAAUAGUAAAAUGAAGGCUAUUGAAUGAUGAUCGGCUUGUGGGAAUGAAUGUUGACAAGAGUUAGGAAAAUUGUACAUUGAUUUCAUUUUUUUUUUUCUUCAAUUUUUUAAAUAAUCAAGAUCAUAAUAAUGAUGUACAUUUUUUAUUAUUUAUCUUAUGUUCUAUCCAUAAUUUUCUUUGUUUUAUAUUUUAUACGAUUCGUUUUACUGUUGUAAGUUUAUAAAAAAAAAAAAUUUGGUUCAAAUAAACAACUAUGACAUUGUUUGGAGUCAUGGGACUACUAAUCAAACGUUUAUCUUUAUGAAAUCAAUUAUACGUCUGGAUGCAUAUAUAUAUAUAUAUAUAUAUAUAUAUAGUAUACAUGUACAUAUUAUAAAUAUCUCUUCUAUUUAUAUUAUAUUUUAAUAAAAUUAUCGACAUCUUAUCAUCUUUUUUAACCGCGCAAAGCGCGGAUAAGUUCACUAGUCGAUAUAUAUAACCGAUAAGAGAAAGUGUACAAUACAAGGGCAUGUCACCUUCUUGGCCGAUUUGUAACACACAUACAUGUGCAAACUAGAAGAGUGCGCUAAGAUGGUAAGCACACUCCACAGGCCAUUUCCAAUCCUGAAAUUGUGAGUUCGAAUCACCAUGAGAGUGAAAAUGUGGGAGCUCGUAGUGAGGGGUAAGAAAAAAGACCGCUUGUAUAUAGUUCUAUGAGAUGCAUUUUCCAUGUUUUGUUGUCAAAGGCCUAUACAUUUACAAAGGCGAAUCGAGCAUCGUUGAGAAUUACAUAAAAGUCAAAAUUUACCCCAAGUGCCAAAAGCAUUUCUCCGCUGAGUGUUUAGAAGUUGACACCAUUUUGUUGUCUUCAGGUACCACAAGCUUGGGAGUCAUCUGAUUUUUCACAGUUCCCUGGUUCUUUGAUAGUACACCUGGAUACAUAGGUUAAACUCGAACUUAUGAACGACUUUAUGUCUUUCUUUCCCUCAACUUCAACCCAUUUGUCAUCAACCCAAUCUCUUGAAGUCCUCACGUUCUUCCUUUGAAUCUCCAAUAAUAUGUUCUCCAUAAAUCCCAAAAUAAAAAUGGAACUGGAAUACCUUUUCACCUUCUCCCAAAAAAACCCACAAAAUGUCAAAGCAUAAGACAUGAUCUGUAGCCUAUGAAUAGUUCACAAAAUGUGAGAUUGAUAUUAUACCAUCAAAUUGAUAAAGUUAGGACAUUUGCAGAACUUGGAGCAUUGUUGCUUGUAGACAUGAUCAUAAGACAUUUGCUCAUGUCUCUACAUUGAUCGGGUGUGUAACAAGCAGCCAAUAAUCUAUGAUCAACUUCUUCGGUAAAUGCUAAAUACUAGAAAUGAGAGCAUUUGAUGUACAUGUACGCCAAUAAAUCUCAUGUAACUGAAAUCUUAAGACUGCUACAUGUUUAUACAUACCUGAAAUAGGUGGUGUUGGUGAUGCUUUGAAAUAAAAAACAUCAAUCAUUCCACUACCUCUUUUCUUGUACGCAACAUUGUGUCAGCAUUUACGGUAUUUGUAUGCCCAAAAGCAUCCAAAUAAUCCUCAGAGACAACAUGUAGUAUGUGCCUUGUACUUCUUUCAGUACCCACCACAGCAAGGAUUAACUCCCCUGAGGUAUCCUUCAAGUAGUACUGCACAACACGACGGCCCUUCCCUUGAGAAACAACGUGCUCUUCCCACGAUAUAAAUACAUGAUUAUCUGUAUCCACAGAGAAAACAGUUUGGAUUAAUCAAAAACAGCCCAGUUCUUAAACACCUCAUCCAGAAACAUAAACAAACAUUUUAGGUAACAAUCAUUUUUUGAAAAAUAACAAGUAACAAAAGGACAAGAAAUAACAGAUAGUAACAAAAAUCGAAGGACAAAAAACAUCAGGGGCAAUAGUAUGACUACUAAUUUGAACGGACAUGAAGAGUCAUGAGCAUACAUAAUCCUCCUAAGUUCUGCUACAACUUAGGACCUGGUCGAACAAACAGAAAUGAUUGUAAUUAAGAACAUCAGAUACAAAGAAGAGAUUUUAGCUCCUGAUGACCAUAUAAACAAUGAAAAAACAGCAUCAAACCACAACUCCAAAUGAAACACAGACAGAAUUUCACAUAAUCCAAAUAUAAUUCCAGAAAACUCUCAAUACAAUUCAGCUAAAAGAGCAAAUAUUUUAUUUUCAAGAAUUACAUACAAAGAACCAAAUUCACAAUGAAAAACAACAAUGAAGCCCAAACCCCGUGAAAAACGAAAGGGGUUUGCUGAUUUCCAAAGAUUAACCAGAACAUUGAACCAGCCUUGAGCUGACACCAAGUAAUCACACUUACAUCAAAUAGCUUAGGGUUGGAAAAAAAACAAGCAGCAAAAAAGAACCUGGAAUUGAAGGAAAAAAAGGUAAGCAGGUAACUAGUACUGACUGACUUCAAAAACAGCAAAAGCUUGUUGCUUUAUUGAGAAACUGAGCUUGACAAAAAAGCCAGAGAAUGCUGAGUUUUUAUAUUUAGAAGCAGUGAAUCCGUAUGGCCUUAAACUAACAAAAUUAGUGUUGCAACAAUAUUAGUCACAGAUACUUUAUUCCAAAAUUAAACAGAAAAAUCGGAUCUUGAAUCCAUUUCAUGCUCAUGUCAGGUCAAUGUACAGAGAAAAAAAACCCUGCAAAAUUACGUCCAAUUUAUUAUAAUCGAUUAGUUAACAUGUUGGUUAACUAUAUUAGGAAACAUGGAAAAUAUCAUUGGCUUAAUCAUAUAUAGCCGUGAAAAACAUUCAACAAAAGACAAACCCUAAAUCCUAUAAAUCCUUAAAUAAACCCUAAAAACCAUUUAAAACACCUACAAAACCCCAAAAUUUUUCGUGGACGUCCAUUAAGACCUUAUAUAUAGAGCCAGUUGGCCCUCACCGCCAAAACGUCCCAUUUUCAAGGUCAAACGACCCCCAGAGCAGGUAAAACCCCCAUUUUGCCGGGGAACCGUUCCCAGUCCGUCCCCCGGCCGGCACGCGGCGACCCGCUCUUGCCGCGGGAGCAGCUCGAGCAGUCCACCGACAGUCGACGGGUUUGGGACUGGGAUCCCGUGCCCACAAACGUCGGCCGACCGUUGUGUGCAGGACAAAAGCAAUGCGGGCAGGCCACGUUCGACGUCGGCUGACCGUUGUGUGCAGGUCAAGGAAGAUGCGGCCUGGCCAAGCCCGACGUCGGCUGACUGAUGUGUGUAGGUCAAGGGCGGAAUAACCUUAACAUACCUUUCCAAUGAACGCUCGAAAGAUUGUAGUUCCUUCACGAAAGUUGCUCCUUAUGUCCUAAGCUUCGCAAACACUAUAUAUACAAAAAAAAAUCCACUAUCCGUAAUAGAAAACUUCUAUUUGUUCACAAAAUUAAUCAUAUUUUCUUUGCUAACGAAGAAUAUAAUAUUUCAUUUGGACUAAUAAUAGCUAUGUGAAUCUCUUCCAGAUCGAAUGGAAGCAGAUUGCGCUUUCUCUGCCUGAGGACUUGCUUGAAAUGAAAGCGGGCUACAUCGCCGUAUGUAUGCACCACCUUUCAGUAACAAGGUAACAAUAACUGUGCUGAAGUAAGAAAACAGGGACAAGAUCUAUCCGCACCCAUUUCCUUAUUAAGCAAAGAGGAAAUUGUGCAGCUCAAUCAGUAUGAUAAAAGCCAAAUUAUGUAAGCAAACAACUAUUUGAUCAUACUAGUGUGUUUCUGCUGUUGAUAAACUGUUAGAACUUUUUGCUCAUCUUCUAAAAUUAAAAAAAUGGUAUUAGACUUUCAAGAAAAAGGAUUCUGAAAAACAGGUCAUACUCAGAGGAAACUUCAUAAAGUUACAACUUUUAUGCAUAACCGAUAAGAGAGUGUACAAUACAAGAACAUGCCAACUUCUUGGCAAAGAGUGCUUGCCUAUAGUUCUAUAAGAUGCCUAUUCCAUAUAUUGUUGUCAAAGACCUAUAGAUUUGCAAAGGCAAAUUGAGCACCGUUGAGAGCUACUUACAAGUCAAACUAUACCCACAGUACCAAAAGUAUUUCAUCAUUAUCGAGAAGAACUGACGGGCGCUAGAUGAUAGCAUUAUCACUUGUAGAAUUGUCUGAAAUCAGUUCUUGUUAUCUGCAAGAAAAUCAAUAUACCAUCGUUUUUUCAGUUUAAGCACAUCAGUGUCUUGCUUCUCCGCUGAGUGUUUGGAAGUUGAAGCCAUUUUGUUGUCUUCAGGUGCCAUAAGCCUGGGAGCCAUCUGAUUUUCGCAGUUCUCCGGCUCAUUGAUACUGCCCCUGGAUGCAUAAGUUAAACUUGAGCCUAUGAACGACUUCAUGUCUUUCUUUUGCUCAACUUCAAUCCAUUUGUCAUCAACCCAGUCUCUUGAAGUCCGCACAUUCUUCCUUUGGAUCUCCAAUAAUAUGUUCUCACCUAUUAUUGAGAUAAGAAAAAACACAUUGGCGCAUCAGUCCAUGACCAAUAUCGAUCAUUUAAACUUACGGACAACAAAUUAGCCGGAAGCUAGGCCUACUAUUUAGAACUCUUUCAACUGAUGAGUUAUAAAGCCAAUUUAUGACAAUGCUGAGCUUAGACAUAUGAAUUCAAGUAAGAAAUGAAAAUAAUAAGAGACUCCAAUUUUACAUCCAUUGGCAGUUGAGUUAUCCUUAUGCGAAGUUGCUAUGCAUCAACCAAUAAGCAAGAAUUCUCCUUUUAUUUCUUGUUUUCUGUUUCUAUUGUAACUUUUUAGUUUUUGGGGACUGUUAGUUCUUACCAGGGAAGUAAACCUGAAGAUGAUCGCUUCCAGAGACAUCAAAUCCAGUUACAACACCUUCCCACCACCCGUCAGACCACCAAGCAUCAACUGCAGCCCCUAGUUCAAAAGAACAGUCAGAAGAAUCCUCCAGAGGCUGGGGCCGAACUGUGAGGCGUCCUGUGCAUCUCAUGCCCAAUUUAUCAGAGACUGCAACUUUGUAGGAAGGAAUCCAUUCCUAUAAAUCAAGCAAAGGUGAUGAGAAGACAGGGUGAAGGGAGAACUGACCAGUCAAAAUACGUAAGUAGAUCAUAAGUUAUAGUCGAAGUGGUUAAGGUACCUCGAGCUUUUCAAGACUUUCACAAUCCUGAAUGUCAAUAUAUUGAACUUCCAUACGUUUUUGUGAUACCUGUAAUACUUUACACCUGAACCAGCAACCUUUCAUGCCACUAUCGUUGCAAAGAACCUCUAUGCUGUCACCAACAUCAAAAGACCGCUUAUAUUGAGGCUCCACAAGCUGAAUUCCUACUGGUUCUAUGUUUGGAUAUUUUAUUUUUAACUUUGGGUAAGUUGGUGGUUUGGCUUGUGCUAUCUGGUUACCUGGAAUUGACUUUCUGAUACCAGAAUGGCAACUCUCACCGACACUUCUACUCCCACUAGGUCCUUGCAUUGAAGGAUCUUCUUGGGUUAUCUUUUUUGAGACAUCAUCAGAUAUGUGACCAGCCAUCAAAGCACUUCUUCUUGUUUCUCUUCUUGGGGUAUCUACAAGAUAAGGGAAGUCUAAUUACUAUAAUGUGAAGUAUAUUAAAGCUAAGAUAAAAAUAAUUUAUAACUACUAGGCUUAGUAUUCUUUCUACAGAGAUCCAAUUUUAUAGAGCAUCAACAACUCAAAAAUCAUAAGCAACUUUGCAGCAUAUACAGCAAUUUUCUGAGUAUUCA